This 1588-nucleotide long non-coding RNA is filed under the name Mytilus galloprovincialis (Mediterranean mussel). Lineage: Eukaryota; Metazoa; Mollusca; Bivalvia; Mytilida; Mytilidae. The record is from RNAcentral.
CCUUAAAACAUUGAUAUUAAUAAAAUGGAAGUAUCUCAAUAUUUAAAUGAAUUGUCUCUAGUCUUGAAUCUUCGUGAUUGUCUGUUGAAACAGAAUGGCAAACAUAAAACUGUAUGUAAAAGGUCCCCACUUUUCAUCAGCUCUUGUAAUAAUUUUGUUCAUCCUAAAUAGUCUUACAAGUGACAUUUUGUAGCAUCUUAAAAAAAGAAUGUUAUCCAAGAAAGUAAAAUUGAAUUUAUCCUCUGUUUUGACUUUAAGGUUCUGUUACUAUAAAACUUACUUUAUUAAUGCAAAUAUAUGUGAAGUGAACAUAGCAUUUUUAUGACAAACUUGUUUGUAAAAUACAAAAAAAGUGGUGUUGCAAAGUUGAAAGUUAUGUAAGGUCCUAAAUGUAUAAUAGUAUAAUAUGAAUAGGGAGGUGUUCCCAAUGAAUUGUAAUAUACUACUGGCUGUUACAAAUACUGUUAUCUGUUUAAGCAUUCUUCAGUUUACCUUUGUUAAGUUAACGUAAAAGCACAAAAUGCUUGCUUAUUCAAUCGAACAUUUGGAUACUUCAAAGAAGCAAUAGUCUAUUUUUAAGGGGAAUUCUCUAAUCAUAGUUCCUUAGGCUGAUUUCAAUAUAUUUUUAUAAGGCUACAAAGAGGCUUGAAGUAGAUGAACAGUUUUACAUCUUUAAUUUUCAAUCUAUAUUUGUAGAUAUAAAAAAAAAAAGGAACGGGUGGAAACAAACUUGGAGUGUUUUAUUAAAUAGUUCACUUCAUAAAUGGUAAAACUUUAUUAGUAUUCUAUGAAUACUGAUAUUUUGAUAUUUGUAGAUACUGUAUUUUGUAACAGCCAAAAAGAUGUUUUGAAAUAUACACUUUCUUCUUGAUCUAUAUCUCAUUUUUAUUUAUUUUUAAUGAAUUUGUGAACAUUUAUUUUAAUUAAUUUAACAACUAUUUAAAAGGAGAACAAUUUUGUGUCUUGUACAAAGUGUUUUAAAGUAUUUUAUUUAUUUUUAUUUAUGGAGUUAUUGACUGGGUUUUAACAUAUCAUUUGGAGCUUGAGGGUUGAGAAUAUUUUAUAAUGGUUUAAAUUUCUAUCACAAUUAAAUUUUACUAUCUGCAUAAGUGUUGAAGUAAGAGAACAGAAAACUAAUUUUUCCAUAAUUUGGAAUCUUGCUGAAAUGAUGUUGCAGUUGGAAAAUUUAUGGGUGGUAACUAUAAAAAAUCUUUCCUAAUAUCUCAAAAUCAUUUGGAAGAAAUUAAUAUUUCUCAUGUCAAUAUUGUACCUAGUGAACUUUAAUUGUGAUAGAAAUUAUAAAACAAAAAUACAACUCUUUUGGUUAUCCUUAGUAUCAAGUCUUGAUUUUUUUUCUUUUAAACUUGUCGGAUUUUAUUUGAGUAAACAAUUUUCUAUUCAUUUAUUGCUUUAAGCAAACCUAACUUCUUUUUAUAUUUUUGCCUUGAGGAAGGUUUAAAAACUUUCAUUUUCAUGUUCUUAAGUUAUUUUUGUACAUCAUUGAAUAUAUAUAUAAAAUUACAAAAAGCUAUAUUCAAAAAAUAUUUUUGUACUUUAUGAAAUAUAUUUAAUCAAAUCUAAAUACUAA